This 498-nucleotide ribosomal RNA is filed under the name uncultured bacterium. RNAcentral's name for it is "partial 16S ribosomal RNA". It matches the Rfam family "Bacterial small subunit ribosomal RNA", at positions 29 to 523 of the family's 1533-position model. The record is from RNAcentral.
AAUGAACGCUGGCGGCGUGCUUAACACAUGCAAGUCGAGCGAGAAAGUCCCUUCGGGGAUGAGUACAGCGGCGGACGGGUGAGUAAUGCGUAAGAAUCUGCCCUCUAAUGAAGGAUACCCCCGAGAAAUCGGGUUCAAUACUGCAUAAGUCCCUACGGGGAGAAAGGUGGCCUAAUUUGCUGCCGUUAGAGGAUGAGCUUGCGUGCUAUUAGCUAGUUGGUGGGGUAAAGGCCUACCAAGGCGAUGAUGGCUAGCCGGCCUGAGAGGGUGUCCGGCCACACUGGAACUUAGACACGGUCCAGACUCCUGCGGGAGGCAGCAGUGGGGAAUAUUGCGCAAUGGGCGAAAGCCUGACGCAGCGACGCCGCGUGGAGGAUGAAGGUCUUCGGAUUGUAAACUUCUGUUAAGUGGGAAAAAAGACCAGUCUUUAAUAGAGGCUGGGGAUGAUUGUACCAUUAGAGAAAGCACUGGCUAACUUCGUGCCAGCAGCCGCAGUAA